UCCACCGGCCUGGGAGUGAAGGGUUAACAGACCACCCUCCACCUGCGACCGCCGCCGCCUACAGCCUUUGCUGGAAGCACAUUACGUCACCUUCCCAGCGGCCUCCGGGGGCCCUGCUCGCUGGAGAAAGCCGGCGGAGUCAAAUCUGGCCCCCCAGCGCUCAGGACCGGAGUCCGGGUCAACGAAGUCCCGCUGCUCCCAGCCCCUUUACAAAGGCUGGCACCGAGGCUUGACUGGGUUGCGAAUUGUCCCAGGGCAGUCAGGAGUUUACGUCUUCUGCUUUGCACCCGCCGUGAACUAGCGCUUACUCCAGUGGUCCUCAAUCCCUGGGACCUCGGAACCACAAGACCUGAAAACCAUGCCAGUGCCCAGCCCUACCGCCGGCCUCCUGAGACGGGGACCCGAGCACGAGUAUUUUGAAAAAGUUCCACCGAGAUUCUGAAGCGCAGCCCACCUACGGAUUCCUACUCCUUCAACGACCUCACUGCCCCAUCUUGCAGCUGGCCAGCUGGUCGUGUUGUAAACAUCUAGGAAUUUAUCCCAAGGAAUAAAAUCACAAGUACUUAAAGAAGUGCUGUAACUAGGAAGAAGUGAGAAUAAGGAAAUGAAUAUGUAAAUUACAUCCACACGACGGAAUACCAUGGAUCAUUAAAAAUUACGCACACAAAGGUAUAUUUAUUGACCAAAAAAAAGGCGAUCACACUGUCAGUCAUAGUUACGGGAGUGGUGAGAUUUGGGGUGAAUUUUACGUUUUUCUGACAUUUCAGUAUUGUUUAAAUUACCUUUUAUAAUAAACAUGUAUAAACUAGUGAGAAAUAGUGUCUUAAUUUUGGGGAAAACAAGACAAGAUUGUUCUCUUCAUUGUUCACACACAGGGAGGCUGGUACAGAAUACACCAGUCUCACCCUGAAAGACAGAAAACUAAACCCUGCUCUGGCCCCAGCACUCAGCAGAAAGGUGCCACCUUCAACUGUGCUGCCCAGUGGCUCCUGCAGGGCCCUUCACACUGUUGUGUGACUGGUACUCUGGGGGUAUUCAGCAAUAACUUCCAUAUAACUCUCUCUGGCCCAGGGCACCCACCUAUAACCCAGAGCCUCAGUAACCCCCUGCAGAGGUGGCACACAGCACCUGUGCCCAUAGUUCCUCCCUGGACCUGCCCAGAGGCUGUGAUGCCUGGCCAAGUGGACUGAGGGGGUACAAGUGAAGGCUCAGUAGAAAUGCUGGAAGAAUAGUGGCUAAACCCAAACCUCAGGAAACUGAUAUUUUCCCCCUGGCCCUGGAUCCCAUGUAACUGAACAUCUCUUCCAGGUGGUACCUUGCCCUGGCUGGCAGGAAGACAAGGACUGGCUCUGAGGUGUAGGGCAGCUUUUGACAAGUCACUUCUCAGGACCGAAGCUCUUCAUCGCAAAAGGGACGGACUCGACUGAGUAACCACUACGUUUAGAUGUCUACCACGGGUUGGGCACCUGCUACGGGUCACAGAAGAGAAUUCUAUAUAUGGUUUUGCUGUGAGCAAAAAGGGCGAUAUGUCAGAGGAAGUCUCAUUCUUUCAACCACUGGCCAUUCUGCGAUGGGAAAUUCAAGGAUCUGAAGGUGAAGAGCCUGCUUCUGAUAACAGCUGGCAAGAGACAGCGCAGGCUGGUCCCAAGUUGCCCAGGUCUCACCACCACACUGGGCUGCCUUCCUCAUUGCUUUGCAGUUGCCUAGCUCUACUUCAAAUUAUACAAAUGCUGUUAAUGACAGAGCCUCUAGAAGUCAUUCAGCUGAACCUGGACCCACCCAAUUGUCCUGAGGGGUUCUUUAACCUCCCUGCCACCCCAAGAAAGCUAGGUCUGCUGCCAAGCAGGCCUGGUUCAGAAAGUUUUUUCCCCAGUUAAGAGAAAGGCUAAGCAACUUCUCUGUGAAGUCAGCAACCACAAUCACUCUUCAGCAUGAAGAGGACAGUGAUUGGCCUGGUCCUCCCAGCAGGGAAGAGCGUGUGAGCUGGUCCUGACCCCCAGCUCCAGCUGCUGGCACCAGGACAGGCUAAACAGCUGAGCCAGUGAAUCUGACCCUUUCCCACUGAUGCAGGAAAACAGUCUGGAGGCAGGGAACAUAAGGCCAAUUCACGCUUCAGCUGUAACAGGAAAUAUCCUCUCCAUAGGGCAUAUGCUGUAAAUGACUUUGUAAAUUUACUUCAUCCUCUCCAUUUACGUAGGGUGUACCUCAAGUAACUAAUAGAAUCCUCUAGGGGUGUUUUAAACUCCCCAAAAUUCUGUAACAGGGCCCUUGAGCCCCUAUGCUCGGGACAUUCUUACACUGUGGAGUGUAGUUUCAUUCUCAAUAAAACUCAUCAUUCCUUCCUUG
Molecule: non-coding RNA, 2346 nt
Organism: Callithrix jacchus (white-tufted-ear marmoset)
Lineage: Eukaryota; Metazoa; Chordata; Mammalia; Primates; Cebidae
Source: RefSeq, a predicted model, not a curated record